RNAcentral lists this transfer RNA (71 nucleotides) under Marmota monax (woodchuck). RNAcentral's name for it is "tRNA.Thr". It matches the Rfam family "tRNA". From Rfam's summary of the family: Transfer RNA (tRNA) molecules are approximately 80 nucleotides in length. Their secondary structure includes four short double-helical elements and three loops (D, anti-codon, and T loops). Further hydrogen bonds mediate the characteristic L-shaped molecular structure. tRNAs have two regions of fundamental functional importance: the anti-codon, which is responsible for specific mRNA codon recognition, and the 3' end, to which the tRNAs corresponding amino acid is attached (by aminoacyl-tRNA synthetases). tRNAs cope with the degeneracy of the genetic code in two manners: having more than one tRNA (with a specific anti-codon) for a particular amino acid; and 'wobble' base-pairing, i.e. permitting non-standard base-pairing at the 3rd anti-codon position. Lineage: Eukaryota; Metazoa; Chordata; Mammalia; Rodentia; Sciuridae. The record is from RNAcentral.
GGGGUUGUGGCUCAGGGAUAGAGCAUUUGCCUCGUGCAUAUAAGGUUCUGGGUUCGAUCCUCAGCACCACA